This 146-nucleotide ribosomal RNA is filed under the name Listeria monocytogenes. Its description in RNAcentral is "partial 23S ribosomal RNA". It matches the Rfam family "Bacterial large subunit ribosomal RNA", at positions 2782 to 2925 of the family's 2925-position model. The record is from RNAcentral. Lineage: Bacteria; Bacillati; Bacillota; Bacilli; Caryophanales; Listeriaceae.
UAAGCGUGAAGCCCCCCUCAAGAUGAGAUUUCCCAUUUCUUCGGAAAGUAAGAUCCCUGAAAGAUGAUCAGGUAGAUAGGUUUGGAGUGGAAGUGUAGCGAUACAUGGAGCGGACAAAUACUAAUCGAUCGAGGACUUAACCAAAA